CUCCUGUAAGUAUUUAUAAAACUUUGCAGCUUGGACCCCUCUCCACUGAUAAUGACGAAGGAUAAAAUACAAAUCCUGUCUCAGAAUACAAUUCCUCUCUCAAAAAAACAGAGGUGAAGUGGCAGAAAUAAAGGAAAUAAUAGUGCAAAGAGCUUUCUUCUGUGUAUGAGGAAUGGUUGGAGUGCAUGGUCACUGCACAUUUGGGAAAUGGAAUAAAAGAGAUGGUUUAGAGCUGCAGAUGCUGCUUGGACUGUAAUCACAAUAAGAGAAGGUUGGGAAUGAUGAACCUGGGCUUUCCAGUUUCGUGCUGCGUCUAGGAGAAUGUUAGAGUGGAAUUGCAAGACAAGAAACAAGGAAGCCUUGAAAAUAAACAGGCACCCCUCUCUCCUCUGACCCAGCACCUUCCACCUCCUCAGGUGAUGGUAAAUAAUUUGUUUCCUUUCUGAAAUGAGGACCUGCUUUCCUUGGUUGAUGCCUGCUCACAGCAGCGCGUCCGCUCUCAGCACUCAUGCGGCUUUUGAGCUGUGGAAGGGGAGAGGCAUGAAAAGCAAACCAUCUUAAAACUGGAGCUGUCUGGUUGCUGCUCAUGCUGUUGCAAUUGGUGCCAUGCAACACCAGUGAGGGCCCUGCGUUUCAGGGAUGUCAACAAGCAAAGGAGUGGUGUAUGAUGAUGAUUGUGAUGCUGGUUCAUAUAUGCAUGGAAGAAAAAAAUUUUGAAUUUUCUUCAAAUUUUUUUCUUUGUGGUUGACUCAAAUUCAAGCAUACAUUCUACAUCAGUUAGGAAACAGCUUGUGAGAAAAUUACGCUUGCUGUAGUGCAUGAAAAUGCUUCAUUUUUCUAAACAUCUUUCUUCAAUGUGAAGAACCAGAUUCAUGAAAGACCCAAAAUACACUGUUUUUCUAAGGGCAGAUGCAUGCAGUCACCUACAUUUAUCAUGACCUCCAAAUGCCUGUUAUAUCUCUGGGAAAUUUGAAAGAAAAAUGUCAGGCUUUUUGUUUGAGAAUUCCUGUGAAAAGUGAUAACUGAAGCAAUAGCUUGGGUAAAGCCUCAGACUAGUUGGGAUUGGUCUCAUCUGAACUGAUUUCUUUCUGGAACAAUUCUCUUUGCUGUGAAAAACAUUGUAAAGUAUAUUCUUUCUUAUUACUUUCUUAAGUAUUUUUCUUUCCUUGAAAGGACAUUUUUAUUGAAAGAGACUUUUUUUGUCUUUUAAAUGAAAAAUAUUCUGACCAAGUCAGCUAGGGUUAUAAAAGUGCCCAAAUACUAGCGAGUCUAAAUUUCUGCCCUCUGAUCUGGAGAAGUUACUGAAUGCAUAAUGUUGAAGAACAGCAAAAAGGGAAGAAGUAUUAUAAAAGAUAAUAGCAGUGACUUCUACUACCCACAUCCAAUCGAGAAAGAAGUUAUCUAAGGACAUUGUAGCACUCAUAGAAGCAGCUAAAAAGAAAGCAGGAAGAAAGAGAAAACAAAUUAUGAUUAAAUGGCGAAGUUCAAAAUGCUGUUUGAGGUAAGCAAGAUCCUCUGGAAAAUGGAGAGAGAGCAGGAAUGAAGCCAAAAGUAAAGAGUGCAAACUAUGAUAAGAAAAAGGAAGAUGAAAAUUCUGAAGAAUGGCAAUUAUUUGAUACUAAGGGUUAUUUAAAUAUGUGAGAUACUGUAAGCCCAUCUGUCCACAGGAUUUCAAGGAUGCAAGGAAAGCAAUUAAGGGGAACAGGGUUCUUCCAGAGAGUUUUGACAACUCCUUUGAUUGCCAGCGGGGUAGAUGGUACAGAGGAAUUCAGUGAAUUUGUGGAAGAGUCAAAUUAGUUACACAUUGGUCCUGUGCAACAGUGCACAAAAGCAUUGCCUUGCAAUGCCAGGCCGUCUGUGCGACCUACCUGGGGUUGUGGCUGGAAACACUUCUUCCAGAACUGGUGACAACCUGCAGGAUGGGGACUUGCGUGGAUGGGCUGAAUCCGUGGGAGCUGCCUCUGCUAUUUCCGAAAGCUUUUUUCACGCUGUUACCAGCCUCUGGUAGUUCAGCUCUACUGCUUGCCCUGUCUCUCUGGGGAGCAAAGCAGUCAGGACAGCACUGGCUAAUGAACGGAGCACAGCAGCAGGAGGUCUUCCACCCUGGUUUAUUCAUUGUGGCCCCAGGUUUUACUUAGCAAAACUCCCUCACUCACAAAACAAGUUUAAUGCUGUCUCUGAUACUGUGUAUGGCUACUGUACCUUGACUUUCAAUUACAUUAAAUCCUAUUAUAAUCACUUUCUUUAUAACAAAUCCUCUUUAACACCUGAAAAGCUCAGUUCCCAUGGGUGCAGUGCUGUGUUCUUGAAAUAAAAAACAGUGGAAUUCUAAUGGAAAUGCAUUAACUGGGAGAAUACUUUGAAAAUGUGCCUGGCAUGAAAGGCCUUCAGCACGCAGCUUACAUUCAAAUAGCAGAGGAGAAAAAAAAUUUCCAGUGCCUAGCACUUGUAUACCAGCUGCCUUAAGAUAGAGUGUCUGAAUCACUGUGUUAUCACAGUAAAACAUCUUGUAUGGAAAAUCAUCACUAUCCAAAGACAGGUCAAGUACAGGUUAUCUAAGUACUGUUAUUAUAGAACUGAAUGUUUUCCAUCAAAACAGGAGCAAGAAUUUGAAGAGAUUUACAGUGAUGGCCAAGAGACUCAGUGGCAUAGUUGAUAAACCAUGGAGCUUCUUUGUGAUUUUUUUUUAUUUGUUGUUGCUGCUUUUUUUUUCCUGGCUGGUAGAAAGGCACCAAAAGUAGUAUGCCACUAUUUGUUAACAGUUAUUUUCAGGGUUCUACCCUUCCUGGAAAAAUAAAAGAUUUUGUGCAUGAA
Parus major (Great Tit) is the source of this 2814-nucleotide long non-coding RNA. RefSeq lists it as uncharacterized. The record is from RefSeq and is a predicted model, not a curated record. Lineage: Eukaryota; Metazoa; Chordata; Aves; Passeriformes; Paridae. The transcript is spliced from 2 exons.